Solanum tuberosum (potato) is the source of this 911-nucleotide long non-coding RNA. RefSeq lists it as uncharacterized. Lineage: Eukaryota; Viridiplantae; Streptophyta; Magnoliopsida; Solanales; Solanaceae. The transcript has 3 exons. The record is from RefSeq and is a predicted model, not a curated record.
CCCUAAAAUAAGUUUAUCCAAAUUGGUUGUAAACCAUUUGAUCAGAAGUUGAAUAACAACUUUCCCAUGCCUCUGAACCAUUCUCAUGUCUAGAACUGCGUCAGGCUCCAAUAGGACAUGGGCACAUGGCUAUCCUCAAAAUGCACUAUUGAUAAGGUAGUUGAAGUUGUGUAAAAGCCUAACUUCAUUUUCAAUGGGGAGAAGCGAAAGCUUGUCGUCAAAAAAAUGUAAUCAAUCAGAAAAAAGAAAAAAUAUGAAAAUAGUGAAUCAAGAUCUGGAUGGAUCCCUAUCUUUAUCUCUAUCCACGGAGAUACCUCUCUAUAUGGAGAGAGAUCUAUCUAUGAAUCUGCCUAAACUAUCCUCUAUCUGGAUAGAUAUGUCCCUAUGAGUGGUUAGGCUGAUCUUUAUACAUUUUGGCCACGUCCCUUUCUGAUCCGAAGAAGAAGGUUUAGAUCUUUCAAUCUUAUGUCAUGAGGUAUGUGACCUGUGUUAGGUCCAUAGAAUACCAUAGUUUUUGGUGUUCUAUGAUUCACCUCCGAAUAAUGAGUAGAUAGUUCGAUCCUUUUUAUUUUGAUCUUUCUAGUAAAGUGAUGGGGAGGUGCGGAGCAAUAGUACAAAGCGGGAUGAAUCUUAGUACGAAGUGGAAUCUCAAGAGUCCUAUGAUUUCAUUCUGCUUUGGGCUCUCUCUACAUGGAACUUAAAUGACCUCAAGAUUUAGAUUUGUGCACCAGAGGAGCGCACAUGGACCCACUUGAUUUGGUAACUGUUUUUCAGAGGACAUCUCGGGGUGAGCUGUGUAGUUGAUCCGCAACACCAAACUCCCUGUAUCAUUCUUAUUAUGUCUUUAUUAUUCUAAACAAGUGUAAACAUUAUAUUCAUAUUUUCGAAGCUCUUGUACUUAUGCUACUAGA